GUUAGCGCCACCUGCAGGUUUGGAGUGUGAGUAGAGUAAAUGUGUGUUCGCGCCACCUGCAGGUUUGGAGUGUGAGUAGAGUAAAUGUGUGUUAGCGCCACCUGCAGGUUUGGAGUGUGAGUAGAGUAAAUGUGUGUUCGCGCCACCUGCAGGUUUGGAGUGUGAGUAGAGUAAAUGUGUGUUCGCGCCACCUGCAGGUUUGGAGUAUGAGUAGAGUAAAUGUGUGUUAGCGCCACGUGCAGGGUGUUAUUCACUGCGUGUUCUAUGGAGACCUGGAGCCGGACUGUAGCUCUACGGCCGCGGCCUCCGUGUUUCCUGUGUGAAGUGUCCGGCUUAGUGCUGCUUGUUCCCGGGCACCGAAGCAGCGAUAAGCCGGACACUUCACACAACACAGCAGCUCACUUACAACAAAAAGAGGUCCAGGUGCAGCCUUUGGAUAUUGAGGAUGGUUUACUGCCCCUGCAAGACCUUCCUUAACUGCGUAGUCUGGAGCAAAAGAUGCAACAAAGCCCAGAUUACAAGCAAAAACUGCUGCAGUUCAUAGAAACCUCUUCACGGCUAAUGCUGCUGAGAUGGAGGUCGAGGGGACCAUGAAGAGGUGGCUCCAGCUGGCAUCAGAUCAAGAGUGUGGGCGCAAGAGAAGACUUUUACAUAAGGAGUGUUUAGAGUGUUUAGCAUUUAGAGUGUUUUAACUCAGAUCCAUCUUUUCACACCGAGGACGACUGAGGGACUCGUACACGACUAUUGCAUGAGGUGCAUGCUCAUACUGGUGUCAUCAUUUCACUUCCUGUGGCCCCUUCCCUGAGGAUCUAUGAAGAAAGGCACAUGGACACCCUGGCACACAAAGAACACACCAACUACUGCAAGGCAAAGACUGGUGGCCACAAAUGCUCCAAGACAUUCACCAUUUCAUCUCAUUCUGCUCAGUCUGCGUUAAAGACAAAGUACCGCACACACUGCAAGCUCCUCCCAUUACCUACACCCCUAAGACUAUGGUCAAACCUAGCCAUAGACUUCAUAACCGAUCUUCCCGGAUCACACAACAACACUGUCAUCAUGGUGAUCGUGGAGUGGUUUUCCAAGUCCCUGCUCCUGAUCUCUCUCCCCAGACUGCUGUCAGCCUUUGGAAUGGCAAAACCUUUGUUCAGUCAUCCCGGAGGACUCUGUGAGUGACCAGGGGGCCCAGAUCAUGCCCCAUGUGUGGAGGGGUUUCAUGGAAAAACUGGGCAUCUCUGUAAGCCUGACAUCAGGCUACAACCCACAAGUGGAGUGGAGUUCCAAGUCAAGGCUAACCAGGAGAUUGGACGCUUCCUAUGGGCUUUCUGUGCUGACGACCAGAAGGACAAUUCCUCCCAUGGGCAGAGUACUCCCAGAAUUCCCAGAAUUGGGUUACCAGCCACCUCUGUUCUCAUGGAACGCCAAUGCAUUAAACAAAAGUUUUAUAGUUAUUGCUAAAAAAACAAACAAACAAAAAAAAACAAAGAAGAAAGCAUAGAUAGAACUCUACAAAUAAAAAGAACAGUAUCAAUUGAUUAGGAUUAAAAUAAAUGUAAAAAAUAAAAGAAUAAGUCAAAAAUGUAUUAAAGAUUACAAUGGACAAAACAUAGAUGUAUAAAAACAUUAAUCCUUAAUCUAGUGUACAGUACUAUAUGAGCAAUACAAUACACUACUGAAGCAUUACUACUGUUACGCUGAUACAAAUGUCGGUCUGUGCCUCUGUGGUGUUGUGGUUAGAGUUCAUGAAGUGAUUUAUAAUGAUAAAAGUCCAACACAUAUUGGUUGCUUCUGUCCCUGGUUGGUGUAGCAUUUAGAGUUCAUGCCAGUGGUGGGGUUCCAGAAAGUGUGGGUUCCCUUUGUGGUGUGGUUUUUUCAGGUUCUAGCCCUUCUUUUGGCAGGUUU
Long non-coding RNA from Ictalurus punctatus (channel catfish), 1899 nucleotides. RefSeq lists it as uncharacterized. Lineage: Eukaryota; Metazoa; Chordata; Actinopteri; Siluriformes; Ictaluridae. The record is from RefSeq and is a predicted model, not a curated record. The transcript is spliced from 5 exons.